Molecule: unclassified non-coding RNA, 2986 nt
Filed under: Hevea brasiliensis (rubber tree)
Lineage: Eukaryota; Viridiplantae; Streptophyta; Magnoliopsida; Malpighiales; Euphorbiaceae
Source: RNAcentral
UCACGAUGUGGUUAGAUCAGCCAAAAUUGAAAAGAAAAUUACAAGGAUAACAAAGUAAAAUAAAAAGGGAACAAAAAGUUAUCAGCGUAAAUACAACCCUCUUGAAACGGGGUAUGACACAAAUUUCACUUACAUACCAUCCUAGUUCUCCGAUUGUUGAAAGUGGACCCAAUAUGAAAUUUAGGAAGAUAUGAGAGGAACAAAUCCUAAAAUUGUAAAGGUCAGCUUCGAUAAAUGUAAACUACAUGCUAUGCAAAAUGACUCCUGUUACUAAUUGGUUAGGGUAAGCUCCUGAAAAGCGGCUUUUUUAAACGGGGAGUGACCACACUACGCAUGGUCUGUUUGUCCAGUCUUUUGUGUAUCAUUGCCCAAAUGUUGGUCAUUCCUGCCAGCCCUAAAUUCUUCGUGCCCAGGAAAUUCCCCAAGCCUCUCCUGCAUUAAUACACAAACCAAAAUGAGUCAGACUAGCAAUUUUAUUCGAAGGAUAGAUUUUGGUAACUCUAAACAUUCCGUCUCAUAACAGCAUUAAAAUGGGUCUGUUGCCCAUAUCUGGAGCCUUUCCAUUGUCCAAGAAGACAUGCUUUGUUGUGACUGUCUUGAGUGCCAUUUGCAAAGAUGAUCAUUUUCAACCAACCGCAAACCACACUAUAAUGAAAUCAAUCUUUUUGUUGUUUUUAAAUCAGUGUAAAUAAAAAUAAAAGGCACUUUCAUUGAAAAUUAUUCCCGAUUGUUCAUUGAUCAAAUUUCCCAACUUGAAUUUCCUGCAUAGUUCUGCCCACCACUGGAUCAGCUGCUCUCUUCUGAGUAAAAUUUUUCAGGGCUUGUAACUGUAAUGACACAAAUGAUCUGGCUGACUAGUUCUUCAUUGUAUACCCAGUGCAGGGAGGUAGGUAUGAUCACUAAAGUUGGGGAAAAAAAAAGGAACCAAUAUCAAACUGAUCAAACCAGGAAAGAGCAUCACCUUGAGAGAUGCAUUUUCUGCAAGAAGUUGCUCAUACUCGCCCUUGAUCCGGUUUACUUCUGAUCUCAGAUUGGAAUUUUCUUCUUUUAGGGCUUCAGCACGCUGGGCCAACUCAUCACAUUCGGCCUGUUUACGCAACCUAGAACGGCGAGCAGAUUCUCUGUUUGACUGUUUUCGCCUCUGUCGCUUCACCUCUCUUUCAUCCUGUAACCAAAUCUGCGAUUGAACAGUAUCCCGAGAUCCAGUAGAAACAAUUCCUCCAGCUACUGGAGUAUUUGGAACCUUCCCAUGGAUUGCAGGGAUAGCAGAUGAAGCUGGGGCUCCCCAGUAGUCCAUUCCAAUAUUUAAGUUGGUUGUGGGACCAGGUAGAGCUCCUGGGGCACCAGUAGCCGGUAUUGGCAUGACGGACAUUGUCUGGUUCAUGAUUGUAUUAGGCAUACUCUGUCCUACGUUCUGAGGGCAAUGCACAGAACCACCAUUCUGAGAUGCAUCAGCUUCAACAGAAUCUUGCCUUCCACCUGACAUCAUUUGUGAGUCAUUCUGAGAAUUUGCAUCACUUCCUUCACUUGUACCUUCACUUGCACUCUCAGCACUUUUAGAAUAAGCUCCAUUAGCAGACGCUCCAGAUGUUUUACCAAUCUCAUUACUCUUCCCUGUAAUCAUGUUUAAACUGCCCAAACUUCCUUUGGACCUUUUAAUGGGCAAUUUUUCCUUCACGUCAGAUGGCUUUCCAUCAGCUUCUGUGCUACCAGGUGUAUAUCCAGAUGUCUCAUUGAUACCAUUCGGUGAAGGCAUUGCAAAAGGACUAAAAGGGUAAGAUCCCGGAGGAAUAGAUGGAUGAGCAUAUAAGCCACCAUGAGGAUACAUUGCAACAUAUGGAUGUGGUGGCGUACCAUAUGGAGGCAUGAUAUGCUGAACCCCCCACAUAUAAGGAUGAGCUUGGGGACUUGAUGCCAAGAACCCAUGUGGAGGUAUAGGAGAGUAUGCCUGAAAUCCCGUCCAGUCAGGAUUUACAGCACCAGUGCUGGUGGUUGAAGACUGCUCCUGCGCAGUGGUGCCAGCAAGGGCCUUUGCCUCUUUCUCCUUUGCUGGUUUAUCCAUAUCACUGCUGCCCAUAGUUAAACAAUCUUUUCAAUAAUUCUUCAAACCAUCCUACAAUAAAACCAACAUUAUCAUCACAAUAGGGACUUCUUACCCGUUAUGCACAGGUAAACAACUCAAAGUAGACCCUAUCCUGAAAUUGCUAAGAAAAAGAAUCAGCAGUGCCAAAAUUUGCUGCAAACAUUUCCAACCCAUGAAAAGGAAGCAUCUAAUAAGUUCAACAGAUUCCGAGCAAACAAGCAAAUUCGCAUAAGGGCUUAUACAUAGAUACGAAUACUAUUUGCAAAAUAGAAUAAUUCGACAACUUCAAAUUAAUAACUGAAGAUACAAACUAUUGAUUGUAUAAAGGAAGAUAUGCUAUCAUGCAUAUAGAGAGAAAUUUUACCUGCAGACUUAAAAGCGUAUCACUUAACCGAAAACCAACAAAACAAAACCUUAAUUCGAUUGAUGGAAACCUGUCAGUUGUUAGAACCUCAAAAGAGCAAAAUCGAAUCCUGAUCCACUGAAAGAGUAAGAAAUGUAAGAAAUUGAUAACCGAAAACGACAAUGGAGGCUACAGAAGUCAAUCAAGAAAAGACUAGGAGAUAAUAAUGGAGGAGCAUUGACAAAAAUAAAAAACAAAAAUCAAAAUUAAGGUGAGAAUUUGGGGGAGAUCGGAAACUAGGGUUUGUUGGGAUUACGGGUGAGUUAUUGGUGUAGAUGUUGGAGGUUCACGGCUCACAUUCUGUGGUCUUCAUACUGUAGUCGCUGAUGCAGAGGAAAGAAAAUCCUUUCCUCAAUUGCAGUCCACUUCCACUAGGUCUAGCUAGGUGAGCGAUUUCCAAAUUUAUGAUGAUGGGGCGAUGGCCAUUGGUUGUGAUUACGGUGAAUCGUUGAUGGUUGGAGGAAGCUGAAAUUUUUGUAGGGACUAGAGAUGGCUUUUUU